GAUGAACGCUGGCGGCGUGCCUAAUACAUGCAAGUCGAGCGAACAGACGAGGAGCUUGCUCCUCUGACGUUAGCGGCGGACGGGUGAGUAACACGUGGAUAACCUACCUAUAAGACUGGGAUAACUUCGGGAAACCGGAGCUAAUACCGGAUAAUAUAUUGAACCGCAUGGUUCAAUAGUGAAAGACGGUUUUGCUGUCACUUAUAGAUGGAUCCGCGCCGCAUUAGCUAGUUGGUAAGGUAACGGCUUACCAAGGCAACGAUGCGUAGCCGACCUGAGAGGGUGAUCGGCCACACUGGAACUGAGACACGGUCCAGACUCCUACGGGAGGCAGCAGUAGGGAAUCUUCCGCAAAGGGCGAAAGCCUGACGGAGCAACGCCGCGUGAGAGAUGAAGGUCUUCGGAUCGUAAAACUCUGUUAUUAGGGAAGAACAAAUGUGUAAGUAACUAUGCACGUCUUGACGGUACCUAAUCAGAAAGCCACGGCUAACUACGUG
This 497-nucleotide ribosomal RNA is filed under the name uncultured bacterium. Its description in RNAcentral is "partial 16S ribosomal RNA". It matches the Rfam family "Bacterial small subunit ribosomal RNA", at positions 28 to 507 of the family's 1533-position model. The record is from RNAcentral.